This is a long non-coding RNA of Salvelinus fontinalis (brook trout), 2245 nucleotides long. RefSeq lists it as uncharacterized. The transcript has 2 exons. The record is from RefSeq and is a predicted model, not a curated record. NCBI's taxonomy places the organism in Eukaryota, Metazoa, Chordata, Actinopteri, Salmoniformes, Salmonidae.
GUUUUACACCAGAAUAACUUCAAGGAGUCUUUGUUUGGGACCACGAACAGGCAUCUGUGCAGCACGUCCAUUUUCUGAGAUUCUCUCACUAAUCAGAGUCGUUGCGCGGAUGCCUCGACAGAGGCCGAGAAGAAACAGCUGCCUCGCAUGAACUUACACUCGACGACUCACCAGCCGCCACUGCCUGUGCCAUCGGCUGCUCUGCUCAGUCAGUGGAAUCAGUCUGUUCGGUUGGUCUCUCCCCUCCACUGAGCUUUCAGAGGACUCCUGGCACUGGGAGACCAACAGGAGGCAUGGCUACAUCCCAAGAGGAAAUGCAGUCCCCUUGUUUCCUUGUCUCCUGAUCUGAAAGGACUUGGUAGAGAAGAGGAAUGGAUGGUGUGAAAGAGAAAGAAAAGAAUGGCAGGGUUUUCAAUUUCUAUGUUGUGCACAAAAUUCAGUCUUUUGCCUGAGUGCAUGUUUGCAAAGAAAAGGAGACAAGGAAAGGAAGUGAUCUAAGAGUUUUGGGAUGAAACAGCCUGAAUGUUAGGCCUAAUCUCCACCCUCAGAAGGGCUAGUUAAGAGCCUCCACCCAGAGCCUAUAAGUGCUCUCAAGUCUCGCCAGCAUUCAUUUCAAUCAAGCCUAAUUCAAUCACACGUCUAUUAUGCAACCAACAUUUACAGCACUUCAAGACUGGCGUUUCAAAACUCUGAUUUUAAAGGGCACUUGAUUCAGGUCGCCCGGUGUGCGACGUGGGCGGGAUAUACGCUUAAGGGAAAAUGGAAUGGCUCCAAAAAUGCACACCAGGCGAGCUAAAUCCCAUAUUGAGAAAGCAUCAUUGUGGCAACCAGAUUGUCCUGGCGUGACGGGGACGUAGCAAUUGCGGGGGAAAAAUCUCUAAUAGUCAGUGAUGAGACUAAACUCUCCACUACUGUUACUGUAUAAAACAAGAUCAUGAGGCGACCAUAAAACACACUACAACCUUAUUCUAAAUCUGUUCAGUUUAACCUAUCUCUCCUACACUGUCCCCAGGAAACUGUCUGACAAUAUUAGUAUCAGUAUCUGCUACAAGAUGAAAGAUAGUGCAGCUCUCGAUUUAAUGCUCUUUGACAGUGUCUUUUGGUAACCUUAUUGCAGAAGAUGAGAGUAACUGUCAAAUGGGAUGAGUGGAUCCCCUUAGGCUAAUGGAAUAGAAGUCAAAGCCCUUCUGUGUUGGGUCUUUUGAGUACGGUGAGCAGGGUAGUAGUCCUAAAGGGUAUUACCUCACAGUUCAGACUGAGGCACAACUCUAUGGAGAGGCUGUUCUCCAGUUGUGAGAUCUAGAACCAUGUGUCGUACCUCUUUGAUUCCAGACGUCCAUUUAACCCUGAAAAAUCAGCCCUGUGCAAGAGACGUAUUCAAAUGUUCCCGAAUGUUGCAGAUGAAAAUAUUGUGAAUUGAGUUGACCCAAUGUCCUACAUUACAACAUGAAAGCAUUAUAUGUACUACAGAAUACAUACAGUGUCUCACUGAACAUUCUGUAAUGUUACACCCUGCUGUAGGGCCAUGAUACUAAUUUAACCCUGAACAUCGGAUGGAUACUAUCUACUGUAGAUACACACUUCUUUAUACCACCUAAUACCAGACACCCAGUUAUCCCCAUAAUUAGCUUCACUAAGUCACUCAGGUCAUUCAUUUCUCUAAGAGAUAUAUUAACAGAACUGAAUACAACUUUAUUGUCCAACAGGAGAUAGACAGGAUAUAUUGGCCUAUGGGCUUCAUCUUAGAAAGGUGCCCCCAUCAAGGUGACCUGAUUGUGUGGAGACCUCAUGAGGCGAGGGCAAGCAGCCAACCACAACGGAGUGAAAGACAGAAGGAGGGCACAGAGUUCACCUGAAGGGGUUUGGUUGAGGUGGGCAGUGUGCCAAUGGUAGAAGGAGGUGCUAUUUUGGUGGUUGAAUAUAGAGGGGAGUUCGUCUAAUAUAUUCUUUUGUUUUAUGGGGUGAACCAAGCGGUUCUUCUGAUAAUAUGUAAAGCAGUGGUCCAUAGGAAGUAUUAAUUUGAGUGCAAAUUGCUUUGACUUUAUACUAUUGGGAAAUAGACAGGCAGUUCUCUCUUGUAAAAUUGAUUCAGAGACAUUCCCUGGUUAAAUCAAUCUCAUUUCACUUGGACCUGGACAAAAUUGUGUUUGAAAAUGAUAUAGAUGAAAGUACAUUUUAAGUCAUGCUUUGAAAUGUUUAAAUCUUCUGGUCAAUUUAAAUAAAAACCGACACUCUUUACCCUGAA